GCCGACCUAGCUCAAUUGGUAGAGCAACGGUAUCGUAAACCGUAGGUUCGGGGUUCAAGUCCCCGGGUCGGCU
RNAcentral lists this transfer RNA (73 nucleotides) under Parcubacteria group bacterium. RNAcentral describes it as "tRNA-Thr". It matches the Rfam family "tRNA". Rfam says of the family: Transfer RNA (tRNA) molecules are approximately 80 nucleotides in length. Their secondary structure includes four short double-helical elements and three loops (D, anti-codon, and T loops). Further hydrogen bonds mediate the characteristic L-shaped molecular structure. tRNAs have two regions of fundamental functional importance: the anti-codon, which is responsible for specific mRNA codon recognition, and the 3' end, to which the tRNAs corresponding amino acid is attached (by aminoacyl-tRNA synthetases). tRNAs cope with the degeneracy of the genetic code in two manners: having more than one tRNA (with a specific anti-codon) for a particular amino acid; and 'wobble' base-pairing, i.e. permitting non-standard base-pairing at the 3rd anti-codon position. The record is from RNAcentral.